UUUAUUUUUGUUUUAAUUUCGUAAUAGUAAUUGGAGAUUAUACAUAAGUCUCACAAUAACGAAUAAACUACAACCCUCAGGUAAUCAUUAAUAUGGUCACAAAAGUAUAUUCGGACUAUGCUGUGAGUAGUUAGAGUAAGCUGAACACUACCACCUAGUGGUAACAUAACCUUUUUUUUUUACUGGACAAAGCUGGAUUUGAUUUAAAACUACUCUUUAAAAUUUAUUAAUAAAUACACAAUCUUGACUGCUGCCUCUAGUGAAGUUUAUUUGCAUGGUCGUAUGGUAAUAUUUUUAUUUACUUGAGCUUUGUUGUCGUGUUCAUAUGAAGUCGUGUAAAAUGCGUGCAGGGAGGCAAUAGAGCGGCACUCCAUGUGCACACAGAUUGGUCCAAGCUUGGAUUAACUGCCCUGUAGUUUGAUCCCACUGACAUCUGAAGCCUUUUGGAGGGAUCUGCCUGCUGUCUGAGUAACACUCAUGUUCUCAAGACGCUUCUGUAUGUUGCAGGGACUUUCUGGAUGGUUUAGUGGUGUAAAUCUGCAUCCAGGCUGCAGUACACACUGACAAGGCGAGCACACUGAAGGAGAAGUCUGCCACUGCAGAGAACGGAUCUGUCCACACUGAUUCAGUCAAAGCUGAGCCACAGGUGUCUGCUGACGAGGAAGAAAGCUGAGAAGACCGGAAGAGGAGGAUAAGAGGGAGCUAGAGUUUCCUCAUGACCUGCUGCCC
This 729-nucleotide long non-coding RNA is filed under the name Carassius auratus (goldfish). RNAcentral's name for it is "lncRNA (ENSCARG00000038996.1)". The record is from RNAcentral. Lineage: Eukaryota; Metazoa; Chordata; Actinopteri; Cypriniformes; Cyprinidae.